AAGGUAGAAAUAUGUAGGGUACAAAUAUGUACCUUACACCUCAGAAAGUCCACACUGUACAAUGGAAGGUGUAUAAAUGUACCUUAAAGGUGCAUAAAUGUACCUUAAAGGUGCAUAAUUGUACCUUAAAGGUGCAUACAUGUACUUUAAAGGUGUAUUAUUGUACCUUCAGGUGCAUAAAUGUACCUUAAAGGUGCAUUAUUGUACCUUGAAGGUGCAUAAAUGUACCUUAAAGGUGCAUAAAUGUACCUUAAAGGUGCAUACAUGUACUUUAAAGGUGUAUUAUUGUACCUUAAGGUGCAUAAUUGUACCUUAAAGGUGCAUACAUGUACUUUAAAGGUGUAUUAUUGUACCUUAAGGUGCAUACAUGUACCUUAAAGGUGCAUAAAUGUACCUUAAAGGUGCAUAAUUGUACCUUAAAGGUGCAUAAUUGUACCUUAAAGGUGCAUACAUGUACUUUAAAGGUACAUGUAUGUACUUUAAGGUGCAUUAUUGUACCUUAAAGGUGCAUAAAUGUACCUUAAAGGUGAAUAAUUGUACCUUCAACAUACAUUUUUGUACUUUUAAGGGAACAUUUGCUAAGUUUGUACCUUAGGGAACAAAAAUGGACCCGUAUUGUUGUACCUCUUUUUUUGACAGUGCAGCUAUAGAGAGAGAAAUGAAAUUGAGGGGGGGGGGUCGUCCUUUCGACUGAUGCGCUGUAUUAGAAAUCAGAUAAGGAGUGUUUGUUCUCUGCUGUAAUCUCAUUCAGGGCUGCUGUCGCUCUCAGAGCUCGAUCAUUGUUCGCUAGCUGUUGACAA
Etheostoma spectabile (orangethroat darter) is the source of this 800-nucleotide long non-coding RNA. RefSeq lists it as uncharacterized. The record is from RefSeq and is a predicted model, not a curated record. The transcript is spliced from 3 exons. NCBI's taxonomy places the organism in Eukaryota, Metazoa, Chordata, Actinopteri, Perciformes, Percidae.